Molecule: ribosomal RNA, 253 nt
Filed under: uncultured bacterium
Lineage: Bacteria
Description: partial 16S ribosomal RNA
Rfam family: Bacterial small subunit ribosomal RNA
Source: RNAcentral
GACAGAGGGUGCAAACGUUGUUCGGAAUUACUGGGCGUGAAGCGCGUGUAGGCGGCCCUGCAAGUCGGAUGUGAAAUCCCACGGCUCAACCGUGGAAGUGCAUUCGAAACUGCAGGGCUAGAGUCCUGGAGAGGAAGGUGGAAUGCUUGGUGUAGAGGUGAAAUUCGUAGAUAUCAAGCGGAACACCGGUGGCGAAGGCGGCCUUCUGGACAGUGACUGACGCUGAGACGCGAAAGCGUGGGGAGCAAACAGG